Molecule: ribosomal RNA, 490 nt
Filed under: uncultured bacterium
Lineage: Bacteria
Description: partial 16S ribosomal RNA
Rfam family: Bacterial small subunit ribosomal RNA
Source: RNAcentral
AGUGAACGCUGGCGGUAGGUCUAACACAUGCAAGUCGAACGGCAGCACAGUAAGAGCUUGCUCUUACGGGUGGCGAGUGGCGGACGGGUGAGGAAUACAUCGGAAUCUACUUUUUCGUGGGGGAUAACGUAGGGAAACUUACGCUAAUACCGCAUACGACCUACGGGUGAAAGCAGGGGAUCUUCGGACCUUGCGCGAUUGAAUGAGCCGAUGUCGGAUUAGCUAGUUGGCGGGGUAAAGGCCCACCAAGGCGACGAUCCGUAGCUGGUCUGAGAGGAUGAUCAGCCACACUGGAACUGAGACACGGUCCAGACUCCUACGGGAGGCAGCAGUGGGGAAUAUUGGACAAUGGGCGCAAGCCUGAUCCAGCCAUACCGCGUGGGUGAAGAAGGCCUUCGGGUUGUAAAGCCCUUUUGUUGGGAAAGAAAAGCGGCAGGUUAAUACCCCGCUGUUCUGACGGUACCCAAAGAAUAGGCACCGGCUAACUUCG